Molecule: ribosomal RNA, 253 nt
Filed under: uncultured bacterium
Lineage: Bacteria
Description: partial 16S ribosomal RNA
Rfam family: Bacterial small subunit ribosomal RNA
Source: RNAcentral
UACAGAGGGUGCGAGCGUUAAUCGGAAUUACUGGGCGUAAAGCGUGCGCAGGCGGUUUUGUAAGCCAGAUGUGAAAUCCCCGGGCUUAACCUGGGAAUGGCAUUUGGGACUGCAAGGCUGGAGUGUGGCAGAGGAGACUGGAAUUCCUGGUGUAGCAGUGAAAUGCGUAGAUAUCAGGAGGAAUACCGAUGGCGAAGGCAGGUCUCUGGGCUGACACUGACGCUCAUGCACGAAAGCGUGGGGAGCAAACAGG